CUACGGAGGGGGUUAGCGUUGUUCGGAAUUACUGGGCGUUAAGCGCACGUAGGCGGAUUGGAAAGUUGGGGGUGAAAUCCCAGGGCUCAACCCUGGAACUGCCUCCAAAACUAACAGUCUAGAGUUCGAGAGAGGUGAGUGGAAUUCCAAGUGUAGAGGUGAAAUUCGUAGAUAUUUGGAGGAACACCAGUGGCGAAGGCGGCUCACUGGCUCGAUACUGACGCUGAGGUGCGAAAGCGUGGGGAGCAAACAGGAUUAGAAACCCUAGUAGUCC
Molecule: ribosomal RNA, 274 nt
Filed under: uncultured bacterium
Lineage: Bacteria
Description: partial 16S ribosomal RNA
Rfam family: Bacterial small subunit ribosomal RNA
Source: RNAcentral